CUUACUAUCGGUGGUACAAGCAAGUAUUAAUAUAUAUGUAUAGUGGCUAUAUGAGCAGUUGUAGAAGUGAAUCACAGUUUCGUUAUCUUCAUGUUGAUAAGCAGUGAAUUGUCAAGCGCCAAUUCGAUUUUUGAGUUCAAGGCGGUUCCGGUGUGUCGUGGCUGACACUGCUCUUGACUGUAUUUCAACUAGGUGAAGUCAAGCAAAAUAAAAUAAAGCAAGUAAAGCUUAAUUGAGGCGAAAAUUGAAGACAGGAAAAAAUGAAAACACAAAAUAUUGAAUAACAACAAUAAAGGAGGACAAGCUUCUACUGCACUCUGAUAUUUUUUAAAUAAAUGGAAUGCCCUGUAGGAAAAUACAAUUUUACAAAAUUGGUUCGAUUUGGUGUUCGAAAUUAUUUCAAGGUUCUGCUUUUUUAAUACGAAAAAUUGUUCAAUUCAAUCUUGUGUGACGCCUUUCAAUAUUUAUGUAUUACAAAUGUGAACUAAAUCGCAUAAUAAAUUUGUAUCAAAUUGUUCCAGCGGCAUUAAGCGGAUUUCAACUUAACAGACACAACCUAACCUUAAUUACUGAUUUUUUAUAGGCGAUUCUAUAGGCGCGAUUCAAGUUUUGGAACAAUUUGCCAGACCAUUUCACAUACAUUUUUAUUUUCCUACAGGGUGUGCUUAAUAUGUGCUUGUGGCUGUAUCGAUCGUUAAUCGGCCUGUUGAUUAAGUAAGCGGCGGCUGUGCGGUUUUAGUGAAGCAAAAAAUGCAAACAAUAAAAAUGAAAAUAAAUUGAAUGCAACUCGA
Long non-coding RNA from Bactrocera oleae (olive fruit fly), 791 nucleotides. RefSeq lists it as uncharacterized. The record is from RefSeq and is a predicted model, not a curated record. NCBI's taxonomy places the organism in Eukaryota, Metazoa, Arthropoda, Insecta, Diptera, Tephritidae.